GGGCCGUUAGCUCAGUCGGUAGAGCAGCUGGCUUUUAACCAGUUGGUCGCUGGUUCGAAUCCAGCACGGCCCACCA
Molecule: transfer RNA, 76 nt
Filed under: Gammaproteobacteria bacterium
Lineage: Bacteria; Pseudomonadati; Pseudomonadota; Gammaproteobacteria
Also listed under: 4 other names
Description: tRNA-Lys
Rfam family: tRNA
About the family: Transfer RNA (tRNA) molecules are approximately 80 nucleotides in length. Their secondary structure includes four short double-helical elements and three loops (D, anti-codon, and T loops). Further hydrogen bonds mediate the characteristic L-shaped molecular structure. tRNAs have two regions of fundamental functional importance: the anti-codon, which is responsible for specific mRNA codon recognition, and the 3' end, to which the tRNAs corresponding amino acid is attached (by aminoacyl-tRNA synthetases). tRNAs cope with the degeneracy of the genetic code in two manners: having more than one tRNA (with a specific anti-codon) for a particular amino acid; and 'wobble' base-pairing, i.e. permitting non-standard base-pairing at the 3rd anti-codon position.
Source: RNAcentral